Homalodisca vitripennis (glassy-winged sharpshooter) is the source of this 386-nucleotide long non-coding RNA. RefSeq lists it as uncharacterized. The transcript is spliced from 3 exons. NCBI's taxonomy places the organism in Eukaryota, Metazoa, Arthropoda, Insecta, Hemiptera, Cicadellidae. The record is from RefSeq and is a predicted model, not a curated record.
UGAUUUUGGAAAUGGUUUGGUUGAGGUUAGGCCAGAAAGUAAACAACUUACAACUUACAAAAAGGAUAAUAGUCUACGAUGUUUUUAAACAAUAUCCCUGUUAGCGAAAAAAAGUAAAGUCAAAGCACAUAAUGGUGUGUAUGGAGAGUGUUGUUAGUGGCCAUAGAACUAAUAUGAUAAGAGAGCGGUCUGGGCGAGAAACUGGAAAUUAUUCGAUUUGAUCCUCUAAUUCAGCAAGACUCAAUCUACAAAGAACUGAAGAAAGUGAAAAGGCAUGUCAGCCAAGUACAAGCCAAUCACUCGACCAUUUAGACCUGUUUUUCACGAUUUGCAAUCCAGUAGUGUUCCGUUUCAAUGUACACAUGGUAAAUAUGCCUAGAUAAUAA